AAGUCCUCCACUGAGAGGAAGUUGUAGUCCACGCCAGGAACUUCUCCUUCACGUGGGGCGCGGGUAGUACCUGGACAACCAAUCAGAGACAGGUACAUUUGGCAGAUGUGACGACUGCCUGUGUGGCCGGGCAAAACUGUUCCUGCUAUUGGGCUUGACUGGAGGACAACUGUGGUUUUUCUCAAGCCGCCGACCGAGUCUUGCCAAAAGCCCAAAUUCCAUUUUGCCGCUCUGAUGUUGAUGAUGUCAUGUAAUCCAAAAGUAUAUCCAAUAAAUACAGCUUCAUUCCUCUUGGCUGCCGCACUCAUUUAAAUGACCAGUCAUACCGAAAUCCUGAUGAGAAGGAUAAUGAAGAUUCUCUAAUAUUUUACAUACAGUAAAACAGGAGUCAAAUGUUUUGUGUGGGGAAAGGGGUGACUAAUAAGAAUAUUACUGAAUAUCUGAAUAUUAAUGAAGAAACAACCACUGAUCACUCGUAUAAAUCCUUAAAUGCCAUAUUGAUCUACAUUUAAAAGAGUACUCCACCGAUCUACCAUUGCUGUCCAAUAACAUUGCUGGACUCAUGAUGGACAGUUUUUUUUUUUUUUUUUUAAAGGAUCAAAAACGAUGCAGCAGAACCAAAGAUAUUGUCUUUUUUAUUCCAAGCAUUCUUCUUCCUUGUCAAAACCUGAAGCCUACAUUACCUACAAUGCAACUCGACCACCAACAGUUUGGACAGAUUCGGAUGUGUUGUGCUAGUAGCGGCUAAUGUAGCCUCCAGCCACUAGCCUAAAGCAGAGAUGAGGAAAAGGCUACAGAGGUUUAGUAACAUCUCUUCUUUCUAACUCCACACCCCCAAUUUUUUUUUCCAUUUUCAAACUUGUAGUCUUCAGCUCCAACUGACACUGACUCAAGUGACAUCAUUUGAGGAAGUUUAUCAGACUUCGUGCAGCUCCCUCUGAAGCCACAAAAUGUUUUAUAGAACUUUUUUCACAUAUGCAGUAGCACUCGCCAAGACCUGUAAACAUACUUUGUUGUGUAAAAUCAGUGGAGUUCCCCUUUAACUAAACAAUCGACCUAAACUUAAAUGUACCACUAUAUUUGAAACAAAUGUGUUUGUCCAGUUAAAGAAAUUAGGAGCAGGUUACAAUGGCUUAUUCUGCUUUAGUAUAACGAUGUGUGAAUCCCUCUUUUCUCUACUGUCCAUAGUCUGUGCAUGUCUCACGAGAGAAAGCGGAGCGAAGGGGUGAAGCAGUGGGCCAAUGUGACAUGCAUGCUAACAGCUAUGGCUCUGUCUCUAAUAAAGAUGGGUGCCUCAACAUAUAGCAAGCAAAUGCUUUUCAUCAGUCUUGCCUGUCUUAAGUGAAAACGAAAUUACCCUGUGCCCUGAAUCAUGCUGCUCUGAAAUGAAAUGUGAUGACUGUGUUACAUUAAAGGCAGGCCUAGUAGUGGAUUGAAUGAGCCCACUGUAUGUCUUUCAAAGCGUCUAGGUAUUUCACUUUCAAGUCAUACUCAUUGCACGUAUGCCAUCUACUAUAUUUCGUACACAGACAGCACACCAUGGAACUGUGCGAAAACAUAAUGUACCAUAUUUUCUCAGUAAAUCACAGCAGGACACUAAUGGAGGUAACACACAAUGAUGUGAGUAAAUACCAUACAAUCAUUUCUAAUUUUUCUAGUGUGAUCUGGCAGACAUGGUUUUUCAAAAUUACCAUAUUCGGCUAGUUAUGUUGGGUUUACUGUAGCAUCUGCCUUGCUGAAAUAAGUGGCCAUAUAAAGAAUAUUGUACGUAGCUGGUGGAUGAUCAGAGAGAAACAACAUGGAUAAUGGCCCUGCCUUGAAAGUCUGGCAACAUUCAUAGACCCAACUGUUGUGCAGAAGCUAUUACAGAAGCAUUUCUCUAAAUCUCCACAAUAAACAUGCUCGGAUGUCAAGCUAGCUAGCCAGCUAGUCCACGUUUUCCAAGAAGAUACUGAGGCAUGUCUUCAUGGAUAAUUUUCAAGAAACAGACGACUGUAUGCACGUGCACACACACAAACACAAGGGGAGGGCUGGCAGACUCCCGUCAUAUUCCAAAACCAAAACAGAUCCAUCCACCAUCUUCGCCAUAGCUUGCCUGCCAGUGCUUUUUUUUUUUUUUUUUUUUUUUUUUUUUUGGGUGAAACACAUGCACACACACAAAAAUGCAGGAGGGGUGACAAGCUGACUGGGGUUUGUCAGCACAGCAGGGGGAUGGAGCCUCAGCCAUCUGUCCCAGUAAAGGGUUAAUCCAACCAAAAGCGCAGGCCGCAGAUUCCAGCAUUUUCCUGUCCUCAAAUUUCUAGCUACAUUCUGGCUACGUUUUUUUUUUUUUUUUUUUUUUUGGGUUUGCAUUCUGUUUUUGCAAGGAGGAGGAGGGGUUACAGUCAAUCAUCCAGCCUUACGGACACACCAACUACCCCACCUGAUUCUACACCCCCCCCCCCC
Siniperca chuatsi (mandarin fish) is the source of this 2445-nucleotide long non-coding RNA. RefSeq lists it as uncharacterized. The transcript has 2 exons. Lineage: Eukaryota; Metazoa; Chordata; Actinopteri; Centrarchiformes; Sinipercidae. The record is from RefSeq and is a predicted model, not a curated record.